RNAcentral lists this transfer RNA (85 nucleotides) under Sulfuritalea sp. Its description in RNAcentral is "tRNA-Leu". It matches the Rfam family "tRNA". Rfam says of the family: Transfer RNA (tRNA) molecules are approximately 80 nucleotides in length. Their secondary structure includes four short double-helical elements and three loops (D, anti-codon, and T loops). Lineage: Bacteria; Pseudomonadati; Pseudomonadota; Betaproteobacteria; Nitrosomonadales; Sterolibacteriaceae. The record is from RNAcentral.
GCCCAGGUGGCGAAAUUGGUAGACGCAGCAGAUUUAGGUUCUGCCGCCGCAAGGCGUGGGGGUUCGAGUCCUCUCCUGGGCACCA